UCUCCGUUGGUGAACCAGCGGAGGGAUCAUUACCGAGUGCAAACUCUUAACCCUUUGUGAACCUAUAUCUGUUGCUUCGGCGGCUCGCUCUCGGGCGAGCCCGCCGGUAAUAUCAGUAUCUCUGUUUGAACCCGACGAUACUUCUGAGUGUUCUUAGCGAACAGUUAAAACUUUUAACAACGGAUCUCUUGGCUCUA
RNAcentral lists this unclassified non-coding RNA (197 nucleotides) under plant metagenome. RNAcentral's name for it is "partial contains small subunit ribosomal RNA, internal transcribed spacer 1, and 5.8S ribosomal RNA". The record is from RNAcentral.